AUUUUGGGCGUAAGGGCUCGCAGGCGGUUUCUUAAGUCUGAUGUGAAAGCCCCCGGCUCAACCGGGGAGGGUCAUUGGAAACUGGGAAACUUGAGUGCAGAAGAGGAGAGUGGAAUUCCACGUGUAGCGGUGAAAUGCGUAGAGAUGUGGAGGAACACCAGUGGCGAAGGCGACUCUCUGGUCUGUAACUGACGCUGAGGAGCGAAAGCGUGGGGAGCGAACAGGAUUAGAUACCCUGGUAGUCCACGCCGUAAACGAUGAGUGCUAAGUGUUAGGGGGUUUCCGCCCCUUAGUGCUGCAGCUAACGCAUUAAGCACUCCGCCUGGGGAGUACGGUCGCAAGACUGAAACUCAAAGGAAUUGACGGGGGCCCGCACAAGCGGUGGAGCAUGUGGUUUAAUUCGAAGCAACGCGAAGAACCUUACCAGGUCUUGACAUCCUCUGACAACCCUAGAGAUAGGGCUUUCCCUUCGGGGACAGAGUGACAGGUGGUGCAUGGUUGUCGUCAGCUCGUGUCGUGAGAUGUUGGGUUAAGUCCCGCAACGAGCGCAACCCUUGAUCUUAGUUGCCAGCAUUCAGUUGGGCACUCUAAGGUGACUGCCGGUGACAAACCGGAGGAAGGUGGGGAUGACGUCAAAUCAUCAUGCCCCUUAUGACCUGGGCUACACACGUGCUACAAUGGACAGAACAAAGGGCUGCAAGACCGCAAGGUUUAGCCAAUCCCAUAAAUCUG
Molecule: ribosomal RNA, 732 nt
Filed under: Bacillus pumilus
Lineage: Bacteria; Bacillati; Bacillota; Bacilli; Caryophanales; Bacillaceae
Description: bacterial SSU rRNA
Rfam family: Bacterial small subunit ribosomal RNA
Source: RNAcentral